GAAGGUGCCUGAGGGACGGAUGAAGCUCCUCGUCGCCUGCGGUGCGGCGGGUGGCAUCGCCGCCACUUUCAAUGCUCCGCUCGCCGGCGUCUUCU
Molecule: transfer RNA, 95 nt
Filed under: Streptomyces humidus
Lineage: Bacteria; Bacillati; Actinomycetota; Actinomycetes; Kitasatosporales; Streptomycetaceae
Description: tRNA-Arg
Source: RNAcentral